CUUACAGUUUUUAUCAUGAGCUUGUAAAGCAAUGGACUUUAUUAAAUGCUUUGGGCAAACAAAGGAUUUUUUUUUCUCCCUUGCAUCCUGGACUUGGCUACAUGACACCCAUCACGGAAGAUUUUUUAAAGAUUUUUAAUCAUUGGACACUCAUCUCUUAAAUGGUUCAGUAAUAUAUUCUUGGAAUCACAGAUGUUGAUAUUUUUGAGAUAUUGAUUCUGCUUGUGAUGUUUUAAAGAAGUUUAAAGAAUACCAGGGUCCCAGCAGGCCUACACUUUACAGAAUAACCAAGUACAUUGAUCAGUAACAAAACGAACCCAAUCUUGGUGUGUACGUCUUCAAUAUCAAGUAAUCAUUGCAGCGCAUUACGGAACUCACCAGGGGAAAUACAUCAUACUGAGAACUGUAGAAAUCAAGGUGGAAAAUCUUAAAAGUGGGAUUAAAGGCAGCAAAUUCAUUUGAAAUUUGCUUUUUAUUUACAAACCAGCAGUCUCAUGAAUUGAUAAAAUAAAUAAACACUUAAGAAUAAUAAUUAUUUAACAGAUUAGGCCAAGGAUGCUGUUGCAGUUGGGAGAAACUCAAGCGGCUUUGAUAACCAUAAAUGUUUAUUAAAUCUUAAACUAUGGUUUAGAAUCCUGUGUCUGCAAAGCUAGAAUUGGAACUGUUUCUGAAAUUAACACAGAAAUUUAUCAAAUUCGAGUAUAUGGAAGAUUCCCUAAAUCUGACAGAUUAAAGAAUUCAACCUAUCUGUUCUCUGGGAGGACAGUCUGGGCCCCCGCAAGAAUGAUGAGGACACUCCCUUCCGCACGAAUUAAUGCAGAAAAGUAUUGCUGUAUCAGGUGGAUGCAAGAGAAAUGUUUUCAGCUUAGAAGAAAGACUCAUGCUACUUAAAUAUGGUGAAAUACUGGAAUAAUUGAUGCCCAUCAUUUCGCAGAGAGGAAAGUGGCGAAAAUAGUGUUAGCUGGCACUCACCGGUGUGAUGUGAUGUGAAGAGCACUCCAACCUCCCCUCUGUGGCAUCUAAUCAUGAGCAAAACAUCAGACAAACUCAAGUUGCAGAACCUUCUACAAAGUACUUGACCAGUGCUUCUCAAAACUCUCAAGGUUGUGAAAGACAAGGAAAGACUAAGAAAUUGUCACAGGUCAGAAAAGAUUAAAUGCAAUGUGGAAUCCUGGAUUGGACGCUGGAACAGGAAAAAGUGGAAAAACUAGUAAAAUCCAAAUAAAGUCUGCAGGUUGCUCA
This 1242-nucleotide long non-coding RNA is filed under the name Ursus maritimus (polar bear). Its description in RNAcentral is "lncRNA (ENSUMAG00000005969.1)". Lineage: Eukaryota; Metazoa; Chordata; Mammalia; Carnivora; Ursidae. The record is from RNAcentral.